RNAcentral lists this long non-coding RNA (534 nucleotides) under Vulpes vulpes (red fox). RNAcentral's name for it is "lncRNA (ENSVVUG00000006299.1)". Lineage: Eukaryota; Metazoa; Chordata; Mammalia; Carnivora; Canidae. The record is from RNAcentral.
AGUGAUUUUUCUUAUUCAAAUUUGCUGCAUUGUGCAUAUGAGGAAGAUUUUUGCAAGGAACCCAUGGUGUGCUCUGCUCUGCUUCAUAGUACUACUAUUCCUGUCACAAUGUUAAUGAAAAUUUAUAGCAACUUCAUGGAAGCAAGGCUGUUGAAGGCUAAGAUUACCCGAGAAUGAAGAUUUGAGCCAUGUUGCAAAUGAUGAAACACUGACCACCUAAGCCACAUCGAGAGUAACUUCAGAAGUCAAAGGUCUCCAAAAGCAAAGAUAGAAGCUAUAGAUGAACUCAAUAGGGAACCAUCCACACAGAAUGAGUUGAAAUGUACCAUGGGAGCUGCAUUUGAAGAUAGACUUUCUGGGUCAGGUUGGAGUACAGUGUUAAAUGUUAAAUGUCAAACAACUAUCCAUACAAGCCAAGUUCCCCUACAAUUUCAGCAAGGUCUGAAAUCUACAGAUUACAGUCAGUAAUUGUCACAUCUGAUCCAAUUUCUUACCAUAACCAUACAAGACUGCUUCAAGGAACUGAAGUAGUAU